Long non-coding RNA from Nanorana parkeri, 114 nucleotides. RefSeq lists it as uncharacterized. NCBI's taxonomy places the organism in Eukaryota, Metazoa, Chordata, Amphibia, Anura, Dicroglossidae. The transcript is spliced from 3 exons. The record is from RefSeq and is a predicted model, not a curated record.
ACGUUUCUGCUGGCUGCUCUCGCCAUAUUUUCUGCGGCCACGCCCGCGAGAUGUGGAAUCUUCCCUCACUGCCUUUCUUUGUGGGAUGAGAGUAGAAGGUUAAGUGAAGCAGGG